UAGUUUAUUAUUAUAUUUCGGCCACCUUUCCUAAUUUAUAUCUAAAUUAUUGCUACUUCCAUACACCUUAAACUGCUGUAAAAAAUCCAAACCGCGAUAGUUUAUACCACUAAAAAGCAAAAUGUUUCCGUUAUUCAUUGUAGUGGCAUAUUUCUUUUUCUCACUGAUGGCAAUGAUCGUAUUGUUUUUAAUAAAACUCGAAGAUGGACUAUUUCUUUUUAUUGCAUAUGCUUACUGCCUAUUGCAAGGAAUGGUGGAUGACUUAAGGUCUAUUAAAACUAAAGAUAAAGAUGAACAAGUGCUGGCAGAACAAAUUGCACUGGCGUUUUCUGAAUUCAAAUUUUUGUUAUUCCCGUACAUUGCGAUUUAUAUUAAGAACUGCAUGGAGAAGGACAAGGAGCGAGGCUGUGCGUAUGCUCAACUCUUUGGAAUUAUCGUAUUGGCUUAUGACGUGUUAUCUUAUUUUAAUGUACUCAAUAUACAAAACAUAUUGCAAUAACUGCUAGUGCAAAUAUUUCAACUUGCGCUUUAUACGUAGUACUUUACGUAUUUAUACAUUCUUCUUUGGCGGUGAAAUGGUUUACACUUAAUGUCUAGUGCAAAGUAAAAAUCGUUAAGAAUAAUUGGUGACAAGCCUAAUUAGAUGUUUUACCAUUUGCUUAAAACGUACAACCAGCAUGAAGAAAAUCAUUGCACGACGAAAAAAAUUUCUACAUAUUUGCGCACUACUUCUAAAAUUCCCAACGAGAAGUUAAAAUUACUGCUGAUAAGAUGUCUGGGUGAAAGUAUGGUACAACAAUGUGAGCCGCAUAAUAAAAACAUUAACAUUGUGUUGACGAAAACACCCUAAGUACCAAGAAUAUGUUGUAGUGGAAAUAUGGUACUAUCAUGUGGUUCAAAAUAAGAACAUUAAUGUUGUGUUGACGAAAACACCCGAAGUACCAAGUAUAUGAUGUGGUGAAAAUAUGAUACACUCAUGUGAGCCAAAAUUAGAAUAUUAACAUUAUGUUGAUGAAAAAACCCGAAGUAGUAAGAAUGUGAGGUGGGAGAAAUAUGGUGCCAUCAUGUGAGCCAAAAUAAGAACAUUAACAUUGUGUUAACCGGUAAACCUUGAGGAUUAAGAAUAUAGCAUAAUAAAAGCUUGAUACCAUUCAGCCUUAUCUAUGAGCAAGUCUAUGAUAAUUUAUUAAACAGUUGCAAAACAUUACUUCAUUUAUUGUAAGCUGAAACCGAUGUUAAAAUUCUGUAAAAUACCUUUAAUAAGUCUGUUAUACAAUCAAACAGCAAUGUAACCAAAAUUAUGGUGUUUUUUCAGUUUUGAUGUUUUUUUUUGAAAACCAAAAUAGCAAAACGUAAAUCUUUUUUACAUUAAAUUAAAUUAAGAACAUCAACAAUAGGUAAAGCGAUUUGCAAUACACAGGAAGGAUUUACGAUAUUAUGACUAUGGUAAUAUAUACAUAAACAUAACAUAUCGGAAAAUGCGUGUACAAUAGUAAUUGUUCAAAUAAGAAUCUAUGAAACAUUGAUAAACAUUUUUAAAUAGUUAAACACACCCAACUUGUGAAGAAGAUAAUUAAAAGGAAACAUGCUGUAUGCUGUAUUUCACGUCUGCUCGUGAUUAUAGACUCAUAUAUUUGCAUAUUGGGAUAUUUAGAAUUGCUAGGAUAACUUAAAUAUUAAUAAUAUUGCCUAUCACUGCAUAUAACGGUCAGAUAUCGGUUCAUGGAUAUCAGGGCUAUUAGUAAUGAGUGGCGAGUCCUUCAAAAAUUGGAGAAUGAAGUUUUUCACUCGUAAUAAUUUAGACACAUACAUUAAGUGCAUGAUGUACAACUAUACCAUGCCACAGUAGUUUCCGAACUAUAAAACCUAUUGAAACUAAUAUUAAUUUGGUUACUUAAGAAGCGUUGGUAAAGCGCAAAUAUUUACGUGAAUUCGAUGACAGAUGUCUGGGUGUCAAAUAUAAUCAUAAUAAAUUACUGUACGUUUACGUAUGUUUAUGGUAAUGUAGCGUAUAUAGCAUAUAAAUGUAUCAAAAUUUUAAGUUAUAUUAUAUUUUU
Teleopsis dalmanni is the source of this 2057-nucleotide long non-coding RNA. RefSeq lists it as uncharacterized. The record is from RefSeq and is a predicted model, not a curated record. Lineage: Eukaryota; Metazoa; Arthropoda; Insecta; Diptera; Diopsidae. The transcript has 4 exons.